RNAcentral lists this unclassified non-coding RNA (343 nucleotides) under soil metagenome. RNAcentral's name for it is "partial contains 5.8S ribosomal RNA, internal transcribed spacer 2, and large subunit ribosomal RNA". The stretch from base 1 to 120 matches the Rfam family "5.8S ribosomal RNA", at positions 35 to 154 of the family's 154-position model. The record is from RNAcentral.
GAUGAAGAACGCAGCGAAAUGCGAUAAGUAAUGUGAAUUGCAGAAUCCAGUGAAUCAUCGAAUCUUUGAACGCACAUUGCGCCCGCCAGCAUUCUGGCGGGCAUGCCUGUUCGAGCGUCAUUUCAACCCUCGACCUCCCUUUGGGGAAGUCGGCGUUGGGGACCGGCAGCACACCGCCGGCCCUGAAAUGGAGUGGCGGCCCGUCCGCGGCGACCUCUGCGUAGUAAACCAACUCGCACCGGAACCCCGACGUGGCCACGCCGUAAAACACCCAACUUCUGAACGUUGACCUCGAAUCAGGUAGGACUACCCGCUGAACUUAAGCAUAUCAAUAAGCGGAGCA